AAUAUGGGGCUCCUGGUGAGGAACAGAAAGGUCUGAGGUGGUGCAGGGACUGAGACUGCUGCUCCUGCGUAGCCAAGAACAGGAGAAGAGGUCCGUGGAGCUGAGAGGUGCCUGGGAGCAGAAAGGUGGUUAAUGGAAUGAAGGGUUGCCUGUCCUGUAGCUAUAUCGAGAAGUUUACUGACUUUCUUCGGCUCUUUGUGAGUGUUCACCUAAGAAGAAUCGAGUCUUAUUCCCAGUUCCCUGUGGUGGAGUUUUUGACACUUUUGUUCAAGUACACAUUUCAUCAGCCUACUCAUGAAGGUUACUUCUCUUGUUUGGAUAUCUGGACGCUGUUUUUGGACUAUCUGACAAGUAAAAUUAAAAGUCGUCUUGGAGACAAGGAAGCAGUUCUCAACAGGUACGAAGAUGCCCUGGUGCUCCUGCUCACAGAGGUGUUGAAUCGAAUCCAGUUCAGAUACAACCAAGCCCAGCUGGAGGAGUUGGAUGAUGAGACUCUGGAUGACGAUCAGCAGACGGAGUGGCAGCGGUACUUACGGCAGAGCUUGGAGGUGGUGGCCAAAGUGAUGGAGCUCCUGCCCACGCACGCCUUCUCCACACUGUUCCCU
Molecule: small RNA, 605 nt
Filed under: Pan troglodytes (chimpanzee)
Lineage: Eukaryota; Metazoa; Chordata; Mammalia; Primates; Hominidae
Description: processed transcript
Source: RNAcentral